GCUGGGCGUGGUGGCACGUGCCUGUAGUCCUAGCUACUUGGGAGGCUGAGGCUGGAGGAUCACUUGAGUCCAGGAGUUCUGGGCUAUAGUGCGCUAUGCCGAUCAGGUGUCUGCACUAAGUUCGGCAUCAAUAUGGUGACCUCCCGGGAGUAGGGGACUACCAGGUUGCCUAAGGAUGGGUGAACCGGCCCAAGUCAGAAAUGGAGCAGGUCAAAACUCCCGUGCUGAUCAGUAGUGGGAUCACGCCUGUGAAUAGCCACUGCACUCCAGCCAGGACAACAUAGCGAGACCCUGUCUCU
This 299-nucleotide signal recognition particle RNA is filed under the name Aotus nancymaae (Ma's night monkey). RNAcentral describes it as "Metazoan signal recognition particle RNA (ENSANAG00000007602.1)". It matches the Rfam family "Metazoan signal recognition particle RNA". From Rfam's summary of the family: The signal recognition particle (SRP) is a universally conserved ribonucleoprotein. It is involved in the co-translational targeting of proteins to membranes. The eukaryotic SRP consists of a 300-nucleotide 7S RNA and six proteins: SRPs 72, 68, 54, 19, 14, and 9. The record is from RNAcentral. Lineage: Eukaryota; Metazoa; Chordata; Mammalia; Primates; Aotidae.